GAGUUUGAUCGUGGCUCAGAUUGAACGCUGGCGGCAUGCCUUACACAUGCAAGUCGAACGGCAGCAUGAUCUAGCUUGCUAGAUUGAUGGCGAGUGGCGAACGGGUGAGUAAUACAUCGGAACGUGCCCUGUAGUGGGGGAUAACUAGUCGAAAGAUUAGCUAAUACCGCAUACGACCUGAGGGUGAAAGUGGGGGACCGCAAGGCCUCAUGCUAUAGGAGCGGCCGAUGUCUGAUUAGCUAGUUGGUGGGGUAAAGGCCCACCAAGGCGACGAUCAGUAGCUGGUCUGAGAGGACGAUCAGCCACACUGGGACUGGGACACGGCCCAGACUCCUACGGGAGGCAGCAGUGGGGAAUUUUGGACAAUGGGCGGAAGCCUGAUCCAGCAAUGCCGCGUGUGUGAAGAAGGCCUCGGUU
This 417-nucleotide ribosomal RNA is filed under the name uncultured microorganism. Its description in RNAcentral is "bacterial SSU rRNA". It matches the Rfam family "Bacterial small subunit ribosomal RNA", at positions 9 to 424 of the family's 1533-position model. The record is from RNAcentral.